RNAcentral lists this ribosomal RNA (497 nucleotides) under uncultured bacterium. RNAcentral describes it as "partial 16S ribosomal RNA". It matches the Rfam family "Bacterial small subunit ribosomal RNA", at positions 28 to 507 of the family's 1533-position model. The record is from RNAcentral.
GAUGAACGCUGGCGGCGUGCCUAAUACAUGCAAGUCGAGCGAACAGACGAGGCGCUUGCUCCUCUGACGUUAGCGGCGGACGGGUGAGUAACACGUGGAUAACCUACCUAUAAGACUGGGAUCACUUCGGGAAACCGGCGCUAAUACCGGAUAAUAUAUUGAACCGCAUGGUUCAAUAGUGAAAGACGGUUUUGCUGUCACUUAUAGAUGGAUCCGCGCCGCAUUAGCUAGUUGGUAAGGUAACGGCUUACCAAGGCAACGAUGCGUAGCCGACCUGAGAGGGUGAUCGGCCACACUGGAACGGAGACACGGUCCAGACUCCUACGGGAGGCAGCAGUAGGGAAUCUUACGCAAUGGGCGAAAGCCUGACGGAGCAACGCCGCGUGAGUGAUGAAGGUCUUCGGAUCGUAAAACUCUGUUAUUAGGGAAGAACAAAUGUGUAAGUAACUAUGCACGGCGUGACGGUACCUAAUCAGAAAGCCACGGCUAACUACGUG